Molecule: transfer RNA, 70 nt
Filed under: Ochlodes venata (large skipper)
Lineage: Eukaryota; Metazoa; Arthropoda; Insecta; Lepidoptera; Hesperiidae
Description: tRNA-Leu
Source: RNAcentral
AUAUAUAUAAUUAUAUGUAUUAAAAUAUAAAAUUAAAUUUUAGAUAAAUAUUUAAAUAUAUUUAUAUAUA